AGUGCUUCUUUGGCAGUGUCUUAGCUGGUUGUUGUGAGUAAUAGCGAAGGAAGCAAUCAGCAAGUAUACUGCCCUAGAAGUGCUG
MicroRNA precursor from Meriones unguiculatus (Mongolian gerbil), 85 nucleotides. The record is from Ensembl. Lineage: Eukaryota; Metazoa; Chordata; Mammalia; Rodentia; Muridae.